Pteropus vampyrus (large flying fox) is the source of this 106-nucleotide small nuclear RNA. Lineage: Eukaryota; Metazoa; Chordata; Mammalia; Chiroptera; Pteropodidae. The record is from Ensembl.
AUGCUCACCUCAGCAGCACAUAUACUAAAAUCGGAACAAUACAGAGAAGAUAGCAUGGUUCCUGUGCAAGGAUGACACACAAAUUCGUGAAGCAUUCCUAUUUUUA